CUCUCCGUACGGGGAGGAAGGAUGAGAAGCUUCGACUAAGGUUCGAUUCGAGCGAAAGCGAGAAAGCGUUGCCAAC
This 76-nucleotide small RNA is filed under the name Salmonella enterica. Its description in RNAcentral is "partial RtT sRNA". It matches the Rfam family "RtT RNA", at positions 1 to 75 of the family's 130-position model. From Rfam's summary of the family: This family represents a bacterial cis-regulatory element known as RtT RNA. The record is from RNAcentral. Lineage: Bacteria; Pseudomonadati; Pseudomonadota; Gammaproteobacteria; Enterobacterales; Enterobacteriaceae.